UACAGAGACUGCAAGCGUUAUUCGGAUUCACUGGGCGUAAAGGGUGCGCAGGCGGCCAAGUGUGUUAGGCGUGAAAGCCCGGGGCUUAACCCCGGAAUUGCACCUAAAACUACAUGGCUAGAGCUUGGAGAGGGUGAGCGGAAUUCACGGUGUAGCAGUGAAAUGCGUAGAUAUCGUGAGGAACACCAGAGGCGAAGGCGGCUACCUGGACAAUUGCUGACGCUCAGGCACGAAAGCGUGGGGAGCAAAAGGG
This 253-nucleotide ribosomal RNA is filed under the name uncultured bacterium. Its description in RNAcentral is "partial 16S ribosomal RNA". It matches the Rfam family "Bacterial small subunit ribosomal RNA", at positions 524 to 776 of the family's 1533-position model. The record is from RNAcentral.